AUACGUAGGGGGCGAGCGUUGUCCGGAAUGAUUGGGCGUAAAGGGCGCGUAGGCGGCGCGGUAAGUCUGGAGUGAAAGUCCUGCUUUCAAGGUGGGAAUUGCUUUGGAUACUGCCGCUUGAGUGCAGGAGAGGUUAUCGGAAUUCCCGGUGUAGCGGUGAAAUGCGUAGAGUUCGGGAGGAACACCAGUGGAGAAGGCGGGUAACUGGACUGCAACUGACGCUGAGGCGCGAAAGUGUGGGGAGCAAACAGGAUUAGAUACCCUGGUAGUCCACACUGUAAACGAUGAAUGCUAGGUGUGAGAGGUAUCGACCCCUUUUGUGCCGGAGUCAACACAAUAAGCAUUCCGCCUGGGGAGUACGGCCGCAAGGUUGAAACUCAAAGGAAUUGACGGGG
RNAcentral lists this ribosomal RNA (395 nucleotides) under uncultured bacterium. Its description in RNAcentral is "partial 16S ribosomal RNA". It matches the Rfam family "Bacterial small subunit ribosomal RNA", at positions 523 to 918 of the family's 1533-position model. The record is from RNAcentral.